RNAcentral lists this long non-coding RNA (580 nucleotides) under Phascolarctos cinereus (koala). RNAcentral's name for it is "lncRNA (ENSPCIG00000034372.1)". The record is from RNAcentral. Lineage: Eukaryota; Metazoa; Chordata; Mammalia; Diprotodontia; Phascolarctidae.
CAGCCUCUUUCCUAGAGAAGGAGGUACUUCUAUGCCUGGGACACACUUGCCUAUGUUGAUUCAGAAGUUCCUGCCUGAGCAGGAGUCAGAGCGAAGAGCUGAAAAGGGACCCAGAGUCUUAACUUAGAAUUCUGCUACCUGGAACAAAUUUCGUUGAGAAGAGCAGGGGAUGGAGAAAUGGAAGAUACAAAGAUUCCGGGUCAUCUCAAGAUUCACAUAUACUACCACCACUAGUGAUGUUGGGCAUCCUGUGUUGUUUACACCCCCCACACUCACUCCAGUCAUGCCAGGCAGUGCACCAGAAGUCUGCCCUAGUCAUGUGGAAUUGCAUAGACUUGGUGAAGGGGAAGUAGGGUCCAGGAAGCAAGGCAUGAUGGUGAAUGAACCUUCAGGAGUGAAUAGUGCUUUUUGACAUCAAACAUCAGCCGUGUAUUUGACUACAUGACCUCCAAGUUUCCUCCCAGUUCUUUGAGCUCCUCCCAUUCAUGUGGCCAGAUCGAAUCAGGGCAGAAAAACUCUGCUUACCUGAGGCAUCAGGUAAGUCCCAGUGUGCUCUCGCCCCUUUUUGAGGGGGGAAUGG